This 21-nucleotide small nuclear RNA is filed under the name Arabidopsis thaliana (thale cress). RNAcentral describes it as "snRNA_06566". Lineage: Eukaryota; Viridiplantae; Streptophyta; Magnoliopsida; Brassicales; Brassicaceae. The record is from RNAcentral.
GGCUCCUUGUUCUUCACGUGU